Molecule: ribosomal RNA, 301 nt
Filed under: uncultured bacterium
Lineage: Bacteria
Description: partial 16S ribosomal RNA
Rfam family: Bacterial small subunit ribosomal RNA
Source: RNAcentral
CAGCAGCCGCGGUAAUACGUAGGUGGCGAGCGUUGUCCGGAAUUAUUGGGCGUAAAGGGAGCGCAGGCGGGCGAGUAAGUCUUUCUUAAAAGUGCGGGGCUCAACCCCGUGAGGGGAGAGAAACUGCUCAUCUUGAGUGCAGGAGAGGAAAGCGGAAUUCCUGGUGUAGCGGUGAAAUGCGUAGAUAUUAGGAAGAACACCAGUGGCGAAGGCGGCUUUCUGGACUGUAACUGACGCUGAGGCUCGAAAGCCAGGGGAGCGAACGGGAUUAGAUACCCCAGUAGUCCCUGUCUCUUAUACA